UGGGGAAUAUUGCGCAAUGGGGGAAACCCUGACGCAGCAACGCCGCGUGAGUGAAGAAGUAUCUCGGUAUGUAAAGCUCUAUCAGCGGGGAAGAAGGAAGACGGUACCCGACUAAGAAGCCCCGGCUAACUACGUGCC
Molecule: ribosomal RNA, 138 nt
Filed under: uncultured bacterium
Lineage: Bacteria
Description: partial 16S ribosomal RNA
Rfam family: Bacterial small subunit ribosomal RNA
Source: RNAcentral